Molecule: ribosomal RNA, 466 nt
Filed under: uncultured bacterium
Lineage: Bacteria
Description: bacterial SSU rRNA
Rfam family: Bacterial small subunit ribosomal RNA
Source: RNAcentral
UAGGGAAUAUUGGGCAAUGGAGGGAACUCUGACCCAGCCAUGCCGCGUGCAGGAUGAAGGCGUUAUGCGUUGUAAACUGCUUUUUAUAUAGGAAGAAAUAGUCCUUGCGAGGAAAGUUGACGGUACUAUAUGAAUAAGCACCGGCUAACUCCGUGCCAGCAGCCGCGGUAAUACGGAGGGUGCAAGCGUUGUCCGGAUUUAUUGGGUUUAAAGGUGCGUAGGCGGUUUAUUAAGUCAGUGGUGAAAGACGGUCGCUCAACGAUUGCAGUGCCAUUGAUACUGGUAGACUUGAGUAUGAUUGAGGUAGCUGGAAUGGAUAGUGUAGCGGUGAAAUGCAUAGAUAUUAUCCAGAACACCAAUUGCGUAGGCAAGUUACUAAGUCAUAACUGACGCUGAGGCGCGAAAGCCAGGGGAGCAAACGGGAUUAGAUACCCCCGUAGUCCCUGAGCGGGCUGGCAAGGCGCAU